This 273-nucleotide ribosomal RNA is filed under the name uncultured bacterium. RNAcentral's name for it is "partial 16S ribosomal RNA". It matches the Rfam family "Bacterial small subunit ribosomal RNA", at positions 77 to 333 of the family's 1533-position model. The record is from RNAcentral.
AGCUUGCUUUGAGAGUUCUUAGUGGCGGACGGGUGAGUAACGCGUGGGCAACCUCCCCCUUAAACCGGGACAACCCUUGGAAACGAGGGCUAAUACCGGAUACGCUUUUCUGAGGACAUCCUCGGGAAAGGAAAGGCGGCCUCUGAAGAUGCUGCCGAUAAGGGAUGGACCCGCGUCUGAUUAGCUGGUUGGUGGGGUAAAGGCCUACCAAGGCGACGAUCAGUAGCCGGCCUGAGAGGGUGAACGGCCACACUGGGACUGAGACACGGNCCA